GCCCGCUUCCCGUGCGCUCUCCCUCACCCCAGCUGCUCUGGAUGCCACAGGAAGCCUCCAUUCCUGCCCCACGAUCCAGAACCUCACCCCUGGAUUAAAGUAGAUGGUCGCAUAUUCCUGAAGGUUUCUGGUGAUCCUUGGUUCUCCAUUCAUAGUCAAAGGCGAGGCACUAGAAAGCUGAUCGGAGGCUCUGAGAUCUAGAACUGAACCAAACCUGUGAAUCAUUCAACAAACACUUACUGGAUACUGAUUAAGUGCAAGUCACCUGUGGAGAAUUCAAGAUGGCUGCAAAUACUUGUACCUACCUUCCAUUGAGAAGCGGGGUCUUUGCCCCCAUCCUUGAAUCUGGGCAGCCUUUGGGACUGCUUUGAGCAAUAGAAUAUGGCAGAAGUGUUGCUGUACCAGUUUUGAGGCCCAGACCUCCAAGAAACAAACAACUUGAGCUUUCCAACUUCCUGUCUCUCAGGAUGCUCUCUCUGGGAGCUUUGAGCUGCCAUAUAAGAAGUCCGACUUCUGUGCCCACCACAUUGGCGAGGCCACGGGCAGGCAAUCUGGUCAACAGUCCCAGCUGAGCCCAGGCUCCUAGCCAGCCCUGCCAAGGUGCCAGACACGUCAGUGAGGCCUCCUGGAAUCCUCCAGUAACAGGACUUUGAAUAUUAAUUGGAUAUACAGAGGCACAGACUGAAGACUACACUUUCCAGCCUCCCAUGCAGCUGGAUGGAGCCAUACAACCAAGUUUCGGCCAAAGGAAAGAACGUGGCUCAGAUGGAUGUGCCAGAGGAAAUGCACCAGGAAAUCCCGAGCAGGGUGCAAUCAGUCACCAUUAAUGCUCACAAGUAUCAAAGCUACUUGAAGAAAUACAGCUACUUAUGGAUGGAUGAUAAAAUUGAAUUCACGAAGCAGUUCCUUCUCCAUGAGUGAUUUCUUAGUGCUGAAAAACUAGAAUUGCAUGUGGACUAUGAGUGUCAGAACUCCACACUGCAGUUAGCACACUUUACAGAACACGUAUUGAAUUUUAGCUGAGUCUAGCAUCAUCUUUUUCAACUCCCAGGACAGCUGUUAAAUCAUAAAAUAUUUUGAGAUAUAAAGCUCUUGCCUCUGAGAGAUCUUUCCUUUUUUUCCCCUUUUCCUUUAAGAUCAACAUCUAUGAAAUAUUAUGUGAAGGAAUUGAUAACUUUAAAAAUCAGAAGAUAUUUAGUGGCUAGCUUCAACUUGAUACUUUUAAAAAUCCAUGAUGAAUGUUACAAAAAAUGAGAUUUGAUGUUUAAGGAGCAUCUGCUUAACCAUUGUAACCUGUAGGUAGAGUAAUUUGAAUCUGAUUGUGAAAGGAAAUUAAAAUAACACAAAUCAUUUGAUGAAACUAUCCUCAUAGAAUUCUAAUUUAACUCAAAUAAUAAGUAUUUUAAUGGUUCUCCUAUGUGCUUAUUUUUAAUGUCGUAUUCUGUAAGUUACAAGAGAGUUGCUUUCAUGCAUGUGAAAUGCAAUUCUCUUCUUGCAAAAACUUGACACAAUGCUUAUCCAUUUGAUUUGAUUGCAUUUACGUGUUCAUUAAUAUAAUUGAAACAUGUAGCUUCCCCCAAGUUUUCACAGGCUCAUCCCUAAUUAACUGUUGGCAUUUUCUCAUAUUAUAUGUUAGUAUAACUGAGUUAGGGCAAUUUAUUGAUGAAAUAGGGAAAGAUUGAGCAGAGGACGUGAAGUGGGAAUUCAGCCCAUUGAGUACUGAUUGGGGGACUGUGGGCAGCUGGACCAUGCCAGGCAAUAGCCCUAAAAUCUCUGCUAUUUUAACUGCUUUACUAAAGCAUCCAGAAGAGAUUUAUAUGGGCAUAAGUGAUAGGGACUCAAGAGAGAGAGGUUAUCUCCAGGAGAUAGUAUUACUUUCCCCCAACUGGGCCCUGAACCACAAGUCAAAGGAGACUCAUGGUCUUCUAAGUAUGUUCUGUGUAUUUACAGGGUAUUUAAAAAAGUUUUAAAGAUUUAAUAGAACAGUCUGUGAACUUGGAAGGAGAAAAGAGAGCUUCUAAUCCUUGCUCAGCACUUUUGAGCACUGUGAUCUUGCUUGAGUGAGUUAGCCUGAGCGCAUUUCUUCACAGUGCCCUUGUGGGGUCUAAAUGCAAUACUUAUACAGGCUGCCUUGAUGUAGCCAACCAGUAUAUGUUUAUUGAAAUAUGAGGCUUUUAACCUUUUUUCUUUUCUUUUCUUUUUUUUUGUUUUUGAGAAGGAGUCUCGCUCUGUCGCCCAGGCUGGAGUGCAGAGGCGUGAUCUCGGCUCACUGCAAGCUCUGCCUCCUGUGUUCACGCCAUUCUCCUGCCUCAGCCUCCCGAGUAGCUGGGACUACAGGCGCCUGCCACCACGCCCGGCUAAUUUUUUGUAUUUUUAGUAGAGAUGGGGUUUCACUGUGUUAGCCAGGAUGGUCUUGAUCUCCUGACCUCAUGAUCCACCUGCCUCAGCCUCCCAAAGUGCUGGGAUUACAGGCAUGAGCCACCACGCCCGGCCCUUAACCUUUUUUUAAAUCAAGGAUAGGAAAUGAAAUCCACAAAGGAGGUGGUCAAUAAAAUAAGCAAAGGAGAUUUAAAUGGAGAUAACUUUUCAAAUUAAGAGUUUAAAGUCUUAUUUUUUUGUCCUUUACAGAUUAAUGUGAGGAUAUCUGACUAAAAGAAUUAAGAAACCCCUACCUUUAUUAUUUAUUUAUUUUUUGAGAUGGAGACUUGCUCUGACACCCAAGCUGGAGUGCAGUGGUGUGAUCUCGGCUUACUGCAGUCUACACUUCCCGAGUUCAAGCGAUUCUCCUGCCUCAGCCUCUUGAGUAGCUGGGAUUACAGGUGCCCGCCACCACGCCUGGCCAAUUUUUUUGUUGUUGUAUUUUUAGUAGAGACGGGGUUUCACCAUGUUGGCCAGGGUGGUCUCGAACUCCUGACCGCAAGUGAUCUGCCCACCUUGGCCUCCCAAAGUGCUGAGAUUACAGGUGUGAACCACUGUGCCCGGCCCCUAC
RNAcentral lists this long non-coding RNA (2989 nucleotides) under Homo sapiens (human). RNAcentral's name for it is "HSALNT0043290". Lineage: Eukaryota; Metazoa; Chordata; Mammalia; Primates; Hominidae. The record is from RNAcentral.